GCAGUCGAGCGGGGGAAGGUAGCUUGCUACCGGACCUAGCGGCGGACGGGUGAGUAAUGCUUAGGAAUCUGCCUAUUAGUGGGGGACAACAUCUCGAAAGGGAUGCUAAUACCGCAUACGUCCUACGGGAGAAAGCAGGGGAUCUUCGGACCUUGCGCUAAUAGAUGAGCCUAAGUCGGAUUAGCUAGUUGGUGGGGUAAAGGCCUACCAAGGCGACGAUCUGUAGCGGGUCUGAGAGGAUGAUCCGCCACACUGGGACUGAGACACGGCCCAGACUCCUACGGGAGGCAGCAGUGGGGAAUAUUGGACAAUGGGGGGAACCCUGAUCCAGCCAUGCCGCGUGUGUGAAGAAGGCCUUAUGGUUGUAAAGCACUUUAAGCGAGGAGGAGGCUACUUUAGUUAAUACCUAGAGAUAGUGGACGUUACUCGCAGAAUAAGCACCGGCUAACUCUGUGCCAGCAGCCGCGGUAAUACAGAGGGUGCGAGCGUUAAUCGGAUUUACUGGGCGUAAAGCGUGCGUAGGCGGCUUAUUAAGUCGGAUGUGAAAUCCCCGAGCUUAACUUGGGAAUUGCAUUCGAUACUGGUGAGCUAGAGUAUGGGAGAGGAUGGUAGAAUUCCAGGUGUAGCGGUGAAAUGCGUAGAGAUCU
Molecule: ribosomal RNA, 647 nt
Filed under: Acinetobacter baumannii
Lineage: Bacteria; Pseudomonadati; Pseudomonadota; Gammaproteobacteria; Moraxellales; Moraxellaceae
Description: bacterial SSU rRNA
Rfam family: Bacterial small subunit ribosomal RNA
Source: RNAcentral